RNAcentral lists this long non-coding RNA (294 nucleotides) under Linum usitatissimum (flax). RNAcentral's name for it is "long non-coding RNA (LUSI_LNC000888)". The record is from RNAcentral. Lineage: Eukaryota; Viridiplantae; Streptophyta; Magnoliopsida; Malpighiales; Linaceae.
UAUCGGCCGAAACGACGACCGUUUCUCACUUUCCUUCACUUUCCGUACAUCUUCCGCCCCGUCGUCCCCUGCUUUUAACUCCUUCUCUUCCGCGCCACCGUGUUGUCUCCGAUCAUCAAUUCCGGUACCGCGAUUACUUCUCUUGUGAUUACCGUCGCUGUUGCUACGGUAGAUAAGGUCCUUGAACAGCUUCCACCUCUUGGAAUCUGCGCCGUCGGAGCUGCUCUUCUUCUUGCAGAUCUCCGGUGAGGACUCCUCCUUCUUAGGUUUCCACACGCAGUACGUCCCUUCCGG